AUCAAGCACAACAAAUCAAGCAAGCCCUUCUCUUAUCUCGGGCUUUAAUCUGUUGAUAAAUCAGUAGCCUCACACAUAAGUGAAUAAGUGAAGUAAAUGAGCACCUGAUAGACUUUAGGGACAGUUUAUCUGCAUUUCCUCUACUCACCAAUUUCCAUGCACACAGAUACAUGUGUACACACAUUCAGGCACACAAAGGCAGUGUUAGGUUGCUAUAUGUUGGCUUGUAAGAAUUAUGAGACAUCUUUGAUGUC
Molecule: long non-coding RNA, 254 nt
Filed under: Bos taurus (domestic cattle)
Lineage: Eukaryota; Metazoa; Chordata; Mammalia; Artiodactyla; Bovidae
Description: long non-coding RNA NONBTAT022348
Source: RNAcentral